UUAGAACAAAACCCUCACUCACUUUCUCUCUCCCCUCAAACCGUACUCUUCUUCCUUCCCCUCCUCUUCACUCGGCUCUCUCUCUCCUCCUCACUCCACUGCAACGCCGCACCACCACCGUACCGCGUCACUGCUCCUCUACCCCCCCCCCUUAUCUUCGCCGGUCACCGCUGAUGCGGUUGUUGUCGUUGGUUUGUGGGAUGACUCACGGCUGCUCUCCCCUCUCAUCUCCUUCCCUCUCUCGUCCAAGGUGGGUACCGCCGCCGCCAGUGGUGGCUGUAAAACCAACCUCGUCUUGAUUCUCUUCUCAAUUGGUAAAUUUACUUGAACUCUUUUGUCAAUUAUACUUGAUUAAAAACCCCCAAAUUGAAGAAACCCUAACUCACUCUUCUUUGAUUUUCUCUCUCACCUCCGACGUGAGGUCGUUUCGCCGUCCUGGUGGGCUAUCCGCCAUUGUUGGUGGUGUCGGGUAGUAGCCCUCGAUGUUGGUGUCGCUUUCUCCCCUCCUUGCCACAGUUUUUGCUGUUGUUGCUGUUGAUUCGAUUCGAUUGUUGUUGAUGAUUGCUGCUCCAGUUUUUGUUACUUCCCUGCUUCAAUUACUCUGAAGGGUCGUUGAAUUAUGGAUUUUAGCGGAGGUUGAUGAUCGAAAUAUAUAAUUCUUGGAGUUUAAAUCGAAGAGUUAAAAUGUUUUGCAGGCAGCGAGAAUCGAGUCUCAGUUAAGGUUCAAGGUGCGUAGAGUACUCCAGAGGCCUUAUAUGUUUCAAGGCGGGAUUUUGGAUUCUCCAAGUGUAUUUAAGUCUUUCCUAAUUUGUUAAUGGGUUGUAUUAUUUCUUUCUAAAGCUUUUUGGUUAUUAUUUAUGGACUAUAUAUCCUUGUUAAGUUCGGUGUCGCCCUAAUGGUGAUUUGGGAAAUGUUAUAUCUUGGAUCGAAGUGAUAGCAGGUGAAAGAAAUCUGACGUAAUUUCCUAAACAAUAUUUUUUUUAGGUUGUCCAUAUUUAGGGGAAGUGCUACCGAAAUUUCUAAUAAUUAACUAAGUUU
This is a long non-coding RNA of Spinacia oleracea (spinach), 1038 nucleotides long. RefSeq lists it as uncharacterized. The record is from RefSeq and is a predicted model, not a curated record. The transcript is spliced from 3 exons. Lineage: Eukaryota; Viridiplantae; Streptophyta; Magnoliopsida; Caryophyllales; Amaranthaceae.